Molecule: ribosomal RNA, 253 nt
Filed under: uncultured bacterium
Lineage: Bacteria
Description: partial 16S ribosomal RNA
Rfam family: Bacterial small subunit ribosomal RNA
Source: RNAcentral
UACGUAGGGUGCAAGCGUUGUCCGGAAUUAUUGGGCGUAAAGAGCUCGUAGGCGGUCUGUCGCGUCGGAUGUGAAACCUCGGGGCUCAACCCCGAGCCUGCAUUCGAUACGGGCAGACUAGAGUUCGGUAGGGGAGACUGGAAUUCCUGGUGUAGCGGUGAAAUGCGCAGAUAUCAGGAGGAACACCGUUGGCGAAGGCGGGUCUCUGGGCCGAUACUGACGCUGAGGAGCGAAAGCGUGGGGAGCGAACAGG